This is a long non-coding RNA of Cyprinus carpio (common carp), 945 nucleotides long. The record is from Ensembl. NCBI's taxonomy places the organism in Eukaryota, Metazoa, Chordata, Actinopteri, Cypriniformes, Cyprinidae.
CAGAGCUGGCCCCUGGGCACUGCCACCCACAUAAACAGUCCUGCUGUCUCCCAGCAUGCUUCACUCCCACAGCCAAGAGGAGGGGAGGGGGGCGUUGAUAUUGGCAGAGGCUCUGUGAUGGCCCCACACUGGAAACUUCAUCAGUGAAUCAUGCUCAGCUCCACUGUGCACAUACAGAAAGGAUAGCAAUGAACUUCCUCUCUAUCUCUCUUUCAUAAACACAACACACACACAGACACAGACACACACAAUCUGGUGUCCUUUGCAUCAAAGUUCGCACUAAGAAGAAAAAAACGGAAAAAAAAUCUUAUGGGGAAAAAAGUUCUGCCACAACAACAAAAAAAUACCCCUGCUUACUCACUCUAGUACUCUCAAGUUCUCUGUUUCUCACACUCUGAUAUUCUCAACUGUAAGAAGAGGCCCAGUGAAAGCUGAAUGCUGACACAAUGAAAAUGUUUGAAGAUGGGAACCAAUACAGCAUGCUUGAAUGGAAAAAACUGAUAAAACACUCCAAAAUGUCGCUUGCUGAUAUGAAAGGUCUGGUCUGGAAACCCCGCGCAAACGAAGAGGAACACACGGACUGAACAAGGGGAAGCGGGACAGUGCCAGGGUGCAAAGUUUUAUGAGUUGGUCUCAACCGAACUCACCACAUUCCCACCGUCCUGCAGCCGAGGGACGUGACUCUAGCCACGCCGGAGCUGCAGCCAAACCACAGCUCACUUAAGGUCACACACAAAAACUCUCAUGCUCCCCCCCCCCAUGCAUAUAUCUGGCACAUUGACCAACAUGUGUUGAGAGUCUCAACUUUCAUAAUCAGCUUUGCAUUGGUUAACAAUGAUUCAACAAAUCGAUUGAAUGGACAAUACAAAAACAAUUAACAUGCAAACAGAACCACUUCUGCAAUAUUUGGCUAUAUUGUGUAAAAUAAAUUAAUAUCACAAAACA